This 538-nucleotide ribosomal RNA is filed under the name uncultured Geobacteraceae bacterium. RNAcentral's name for it is "bacterial SSU rRNA". It matches the Rfam family "Bacterial small subunit ribosomal RNA", at positions 9 to 526 of the family's 1533-position model. The record is from RNAcentral. Lineage: Bacteria; Pseudomonadati; Thermodesulfobacteriota; Desulfuromonadia; Geobacterales; Geobacteraceae.
GAGUUUGAUCCUGGCUCAGAACGAACGCUGGCGGCGUGCUUACACAUGCAAGUCGAACGUGAUCCGGAGCUUGCUCCGGUGAAAGUGACGCACGGGUGAGUAACGCGUGGAUAAUCUGCCCUGGUAUCUGGGAUAACAUCUCGAAAGGGGUGCUAAUACCGGAUAAGCCUACGGACUCUUCGGAGUCUGCAGGAAAAGGUGGCCUCUAUUUAUAAGCUACCGUAUCAGGAUGAGUCCGCGUACCAUUAGCUAGUUGGUGGGGUAAUGGCCCACCAAGGCUACGAUGGUUAGCUGGUCUGAGAGGAUGAUCAGCCACACUGGAACUGAGACACGGUCCAGACUCCUACGGGAGGCAGCAGUGGGGAAUUUUGCGCAAUGGGGGAAACCCUGACGCAGCAACGCCGCGUGAGUGAUGAAGGCUUUCGGGUCGUAAAGCUCUGUCAGAGGGGAAGAAAUGAGACUGGCUAAUAUCCAGUUUUCUUGACGGUACCCUCAAAGGAAGCACCGGCUAACUCCGUGCCAGCAGCCGCGGUAAUAC